GAUGAACGCUGGCGGCGUGCCUAAUACAUGCAAGUCGAGCGAACGGACGAGAAGCUUGCUUUUCUGAUGUUAGCGGCGGACGGGUGAGUAACACGUGGAUAACCUACCUAUAAGACUGGGAUAACUUCGGGAAACCGGAGCUAAUACAGGAUAAUAUUUUGAACCGCAUGGUUCAAAAGUGAAAGACGGUCUUGCUGUCACUUAUAGAUGGAUCCGCGCUGCAUUAGCUAGUUGGUAAGGUAACGGCUUACCAAGGCAACGAUGCAUAGCCGACCUGAGAGGGUGAUCGACCACACUGGAACUGAGACACGGUCCAGACUCCUACGGGAGGCAGCAGUAGGGAAUCUUCCGCAAUGGGCGAAAGCCGGACGGAGCAACGCCGCGUGAGUGAUGAAGGUCUUCGGAUCGUAAAACUCUGUUAUUAGGGAAGAACAUAUGUGUAAGUAACUGUGCACAUCUUGACGGUACCUAAUCAGAAAGCCACGGCUAACUACGUG
This 497-nucleotide ribosomal RNA is filed under the name uncultured bacterium. RNAcentral describes it as "partial 16S ribosomal RNA". It matches the Rfam family "Bacterial small subunit ribosomal RNA", at positions 28 to 507 of the family's 1533-position model. The record is from RNAcentral.